GUCCGGCUGCGCGCGGAGGCCUGGACCGGGCGGCCAGGUGAUGUGGACCCCUGUCCUUCUGCGGAAGAAAGGGACCCCCGCAGCGGCGGCCCCCGGCCGUCCGAGCCGGUCAUUUUGACAUCAGCCCUUAGGGACCUUGGGGCAGCCCCCCCAUCUCCACCGCUCCCCCACCCCCAAGCUCGCUGAAGUGCCCUUAAGGAUGCUGUGAUCAGGGAACCGGGCUCUCCUUGCUUGCGGGAGGGGCACUGCCGGCGCUUUUGAACUCGGUGCAGGAAAACAAACAAACAAACAAACAAACAACAUCCUCCCACCCCCCAAAAAAAAACCAAACCCGAAAAACAUAACAAAAUAAAACCCCAGAAUGAUGCUGUCCGAGCAAGCCCAAAAGUGGUUCCCAACCCACGUGCAGGUCACAGUGCUCCAAGCUAAAGACCUGAAGCCAAAAGGCAAAAGUGGCACCAAUGACACAUACACCAUAAUUCAGCUGGGCAAAGAAAAGUACUCGACUUCUGUAGCAGAGAAAACGCUGGAGCCUGUCUGGAAGGAGGAGGCCUCCUUUGAGUUGCCUGGGUUGCUCAUGCAGGGCAAUCCAGAGAAAUACAUUCUUUUUCUUAUAGUGAUGCACAGGUCCCUAGUGGGACUGGAUAAGUUUUUAGGGCAGGUGGCAAUCAAUCUCAAUGACAUCUUUGAGGACAAACAAAGAAGGAAAACAGAGUGGUUUAGAUUAGAAUCCAAACAAGGAAAGAGAAUCAAAAACAGGGGUGAAAUAAAGGUCAAUAUUCAGUUUAUGAGAAACAAUAUGACAGCAAGUAUGUUUGACUUGUCAAUGAAGGAUAAGACGAGAUCGCCUUUUGCAAAAUUAAAAGAUAAGAUGAAAGGGAGAAAAAAUGACGGGACAUUCUCUGAUACAUCUUCUGCAGUCAUUCCAAGCACACACACGCCCGAUGCCAGUACUGAGUUUUCAAGCGGUGAAACACAGAUGAAAUCCAAACCAAAAAAGCCUUUUCUUUUGGGUCCUCAGCGGCUCUCUUCUGCCCAUUCGAUGUCUGAUUUAACUGGGUCCCACUUGUCUUCUGAAAAACUGAAGUCCAGUGCUGUAGGUCCAACACAUCUUCUCAGUCGCCAGAUAGAUUCCUUUGGAGUUGUUCCAGAAAGUGGAAGUCUCAAGUCUCCACACAGAAGAACACUAAGCUUUGAUACUUCUAAACUGAACCAACCCGGCAGCAUUGUGGACGAAGGCGAACCCUCUUUUGGAAGACAGAGUGACCCGUUUAUAAAUGUGACUGCUUCAUUACCCCAAAAAUUUGCAACACUGCCAAGAAAGAAGAAUCCAUUUGAAGAAAGCAGUGAGUCGUGGGAGAGCAGCAUGAAUUUAUUUUCAAAACCAAUUGAAGUAAGGAAAGAAAAUAAGAGAGAGAAAAGAGAGAAAGUGAGCCUGUUUGAAAGAGUGACCGGGAAGAAAGAUAGUAGAAGAUCAGAGAAGCUUAACGAUGGGGGAUCUGAUAGCCCCUGUGACUUGAAAUCACCUAGUGCGUUUAAUGAAAACCGGCAGGACUAUUUUGAUUAUGAGUCAACCAAUCCGUUUACAGCAAAAUUCAGGGCUUCAACUAUAAUGCCAUCUUCAAGUCCAUGUUGGCCUCAAACGCCUCUUCAUUGUUGGAAUUACAGUUUUCAUAUGACUCCAACAAGCAGUGAAGACCUCAGGAAAAUCCCGGUGCCCGUGGGUCCCCAGGUGUCCAGGAUUCAGCUGUCACUGCAGUGGCUGAUGGCCCUUGAAGCAAGCCGGAGGACCUCUCUGAGAAGGCCCCUGCUCCUGCAGGCGCUGGCUCUUCACAGAUGCCCUGACAGGGUUUGAGAAGCAGAGAUGAGAUGAACAAAGUUGGAGAACGGCAUAUGGUCGGCGCUCUGAGAAUGCAGUAUCAGCUCUCUCUGAGACCUGACUGGAACCCCCAGAGAGGGCGGGCGGCCAGCCUCUCCUCAGAUGCCUGCUGCAGUUUAUCCGGAGCCCAGGGACCGGAACUGUCCGAGUAUGACUGCACAGCCCUAACUUUCUCCAUCUUCCGGGAGACCAGACCGAUCCCUUCACAGCUCGGCUGUCCUAGAGUUUCCUGAUCCCCAGCUGAACAGCAAGAUUCGCAGUCUGGCUUCUGUUGGGUUGUGUGUGUGUGUGUGUGUGUGUGUGUGUGUGUGUGUGUGUGCGCAUGUGUGUGUGCGCGCGCACGCCUGCAUGUGAGGCAUGCAUACACAGGUGGUGUGUGUGCAGGUGUGCACACAAUCGUGUGGAGGAUAGAGGACAACCCUGGGCAUGAUUCUGCCUCAGGUAAUGUCCACCCUUAUUAAACUUGAUGUUCUCUUAGCUACAAAUGGUACAGAAUUGGCAGGCUGCUCCGUAGGCCUCUCUUUCAGAGUGCUGGAGAAAAGGACAUGCGGGUACAGGAGACUUGCUCAUUCAGGCCUGCUGGCUUUAUAAGUGACACUAUUGUCCGAUUUAUUCCAGUGUCCCCUCCAGAGGCGGUGAGAGAGUGGAGGAACUUGAAAACUGAGCUGAGCAGUUUGGAAGAAAGGCAUUAAUGGCCACGGCUGAACCAGAGGGUGUCAGAAUGAAGAAGAGCCUUCAUGACAGAGGCUUCUGUCUCAGCCUCAAUGGACACCUGAAUGCCGACGGCUGGGACAGGACCAGGACCUAGGCCCACACUGCGUGGCCUAGUCCCCAAGGAGGUUCCUGGGGUAGAGGACAAGGGCCUACUCUUCACAGACGUGGUUCUCCCCUAGUACUUCCGGGGUUCCUGGCCUCCUCAUCCUGGUCAGAGGAAUAUUAUCUUUCAUCUUCCUUGCUCAAAGCACUUGAUUUAAACCUUGCUAGUUCUUUCCUACAUUUAUCAAGAAAUCCUUUUAAAAACUCUCUUUCAUUUCCUGGUGAUACAGCCCAGUUGGCGAAGUGCCUAGGGCACAGCAAGCAUGAGGGCUCACAGCAAAAGUAUACCCGUAACCCCAGUGCUGAGAGAGAUGUGGACAUGGGGCACGUCCUCGGCACUCUGGCCAAUGAAUCUCGCUGAAUUCAGGGGUUCCAGCUUCAUUGACGGACUUUGCAUCAAAACUGUAUAAUAAGGUGGAAGAGUUAUCGAGGAAGAUAACCAGUACUGCCCUCUGGCCCUACAUGCACAUCCACACGUGGACACCAACGUUCAUAAUUGCAUAAACACCACAUACAACCCUCCCAUCGGCAGGGUAGCCACGUACAAUAUCUGGCUACUGCUUGUCCUUUUCCUCUCCUAUGAAUGGUGUGGCUGGGAGGAUCCUCAUAUAUACUGUUUUCCCCAGGUAAACGUGGCUUCAGACAUAAUGGAGAGCAUUAAAAUAUUUCACAUAAGGUAUAGUGUACUCAUACUCUUAAAUGAAAGCACCUGUCUGGAUAAAGGAUGGGCGUGAAGACAGCACUUAUGAGACCCAUUGGCCAUCAUUUCUUGCAGAACCCUUCUGCCUCCUGUGGCAUCCCUGACUCUUGAGCUUGGCCUCACUCUUCAGACUUGAGCUGCUCUCCUGGACUUUGUGCCUGGCAUGUCUCCACUCACAUGCUAACCACUUAAACAUAUGUACAUAUUGUUGGUUUUCCUUGCUGCAUGGUAUUCUGUUUAGAUUUCCAUUGUUGAUAAUUUUUUAUUCUCAAAUGCCAUUGUUGUGAGCAUUUUGUUUGUGCUCCUGGAAAUCACAUGCUAGUGUUUCUCUGGGAGUGAAAUUAGACAUACUGCAGUUUCUUUAAUUCUAACAUGGUCUGUUGCAGGCAAUAUGGGAGUUUUUUAGAGUGGCCAGUGGAGGCUUUCAUGAACCCCCUGAUGUCUAUGUUUAGAUGGACAACACAGUUGGCAUGUGGACACUCAGCAUCUCUAGUUUCUCCUCUGUGAUGCCAGUGACAUCCUCAUCAUUCCCUCCGGUCCAUGUUGGAGCCAAGGAGAGCCCAGUGUGGCCAAAGAUGUGGAGUGGGACGUCUCCUUUGUCACUGAUACAGUGCUUUGACUAACCUUUGUUAAUGAGACAAACAGAACACAUGUUAAAUGUCUCAUGUCAUUAUCCAGAGCUCAACGUGUAGCCUCCAUAACAAUUAGAAAACUAGAUGAAACCAACAGCCCGGGACUGCUGGGUUAACCCAUUGAGGGAAAGCAGGAUGAAGUCAUCUAAAAGAUGGCUGAACUUAACACAUGGGGCUGUGUGGAAAGCUCUCCAGCCAGCCUCUUCUGUGACCUAAAAGAAUUUUUAACAUUUAAUCACCAUACAAGUGUGUGUGUGCUUGUGUGCAUGUGUGCAUGUAUGUGUGGGCACAUGUAUGUGUGUAUGCAUGUGUGUGUGUGUAUUGUGCAUGUGCAUAAGGAGGGAGACUAAGACAGAGAGAAACACACACACAGAGACUUUGUCUUCCUUCUUUUUGUCUUAGUUUCUGAUACUGUGCUGACCUUCAUAGUACUGGGAUUGCAGUCUGUGUUACCACAUCCAACAUUAGGGCUUUAGUCUUGGCAGAGGUAAAUUCUAGUUGGUAUCUGCAGUCCCUUGGGUCAUGGUUCAUUGUUCUUUUGUCAAUUUUUUGUAUUGUUAAUAUAUCUCUACUGCAUUUUAUACAUAAAUAUAUAGUUCUGUAAUUACCCACACAACUUAAAUAUAAAUUACUGCAUAAAUCUUAAAAUCUUAUGAGUAUAUACAGAAAUGAAUACACUUCCAAUAUAGUUUUAAAUAUAAUACUAAAAUUUUAUGUCUUUAAACUCAUUUAAAAUAUUUUCACAUAUAAGUAUAUAGUUAAACAUAUAAUGUAAAUUAUACAGUUUAAAUGGCAUUGGGGGUGAGGUCAACACUGAGGCAGCUGACAUAGAAACAAAGAAGAUGAUUGCAAAAUAGUUGGGAAUUUUCCCUUCUCACCGCCAAAUCUUCCCUGCAUGCAGGUAUGGCCUGGGAGUACACUUAACUGGGCAUGUCUACCUCUCUUGCCUGUAAAGCUGUGGGCUUGUUAAUCCCGAUGCAGUUGGACUAACUGAAGCUAUAGUCAUUAUACUUAAUUGGGCGAGUGGCCCUCUGAGCUGUCUAUAAACUGUGUGUUCACAAUGAGGUAAUUAAUAACGCCACUUCCUUUUGGGAGACAUAUCAUUAGCCAUUAUUUCUAGAAACAUGACAUUGAUCUCUUUAUUCAGAGAGGUAAUUGCAGGUUUCUGAAAAGAGUGUAUGGUUUACCCAACAAUUCCCCGCAAAUGACAUCAUCGCUGAGAAGUAAAACCCACAAAAUCUGUCAUUUUGAAUCCAUAGCUGGGAUUUAAUUCCCGAGGUGAUUAAAAAAAAAGACUCUGAAAGAGUGUGGUUGUGGGGGGGACUUAUUUUGGGAUGGAAAUGAGAGGGAAAGAUAAGAGUUUUUAAUUUAAUAUAUUAGUUUCUUUAAGAGAGGUUAGAGGCAGGGAAUUUAUGCUUGUUUGGGACGAUUGGUAUAAGAGGAAACAAAGAAACCUUUAUUUUUAAAGGCUUGUGCCUGCAUUUUCAUAAUGGUUUUCCUAUUGUGUCUUAAACAAACCUGACAAAUGGAUUUGAUUUCAAUAUUACCAUCUAAAGCCCGUGCAUUAAGUCCAGUUCUUAACCUUAAAAAAAUAAGCAGGAAAAUGCAGCCACCCAGGACUUGACAUUUCUCAUGACUUGGAUCCGUUCUGUUGAUCAUGAAAUAAGCAAAGAUUUCAGAGUAACUCUGGGUGAAGCUGCAGUCACUCAGGUCAGGCCCACCUCAGUGGUCACAUUAAAUUGGAAAAGGUCUAACUGCUACAUUUCACCUUCCUUAAUGAAUUUUCUAAGGUUGUAGCGGGAUUAAAAAAAAAAAGACCUUUAUUCGUUUGGGUUAUUUUCUUUCCAGUUUCAAAUCCACCUGGGUUUCUAAAACAGCUUUUGUGCAUUGGUCAAGGAAGCUAAAAAUAGACAGCAAGAGACUGACUGCCUCUAGACACUUCUGUUGGUUUUACACUUUGAGCAGUUCACAUAUUGAUUAAUUUGGAAAUCGUGAUUUUCUUUUCCGAAACACCUUUCUGGUUUGGCACAGAUGAGAGAGGGGGUAGAAUCCACAUAGAAAUGAGAUGCACUAAGCUUGUCAUAAACCCGCUUUCCACAAAUGUGAGGACCCCCUCAAAAUUAAAGGUGCUGCAAAUUAGUUUGAAACAGGGUGCACUUGUCUGUUCCAUUAGACAUGGUAGAGCAGGUAGACAUAUAAAAAGAAGUCUGAAGCAUAGAAAACUGUACGGCUUUAUUUACCUAGAGGUUAACUAGUUUGUUUGAAAGCUGUUUCCUCUUUCUGUUAUAAUGUAUAUUUCUUAAAUGUUUAUAAUAACGGGUUAAAGCCAACAAUCUCAUUUUUUUGUCAUAACUCCUGUUAACACAUUAUGGAGUUAGCAUGUCUCGAAACACCAAAGCAAGAAAUGCCCAGAGUGACCCCAUUUAGCUAUCUGUUCAGCUUCCCUUCUAUUCAGAGAAACAAAGGAACCAUUUGAAUAUGGACUGUCUUGUGAAAUCUAAUAACUUUCAACCUGGAAACAAUGAACUGUCACAGGUGCAAAUUCAUUCCUCAGACAUAAAAUAAUCCUCACGAUUAGUCAGAACUAGUGAGGUGGUGUUGACCAGACCUGAACUGCAUUCAGCCUGCAAAGAGGAAGGAAAAGGUGUUUCCCGAGAAAGUAAAAAGCAGUAACACUUUAAUCUCAUAAACAUAAUUUUAAAACUUUAAGAAAAUCCUGCUGAAAGAAAAUAGCUCAUUUAAAUUUUAAUUUCUAAUAAACAAUGGCAGUUUUUCAACGUGGUGUUCAAAUGCUAGAUAAUUAUUUGAAUGGUAGAGUUAAAGAUGUCAUUUAAUAUCUUUGCACCAAAUAAGAAGAUACUUCAUUGAAUAAUUUGCAUUUUUAAGGUUUUGAAUCUUGGGGGAUGGUACUUAUUUGUGGCUUAUGGGUUUUAAAAAACAUCAUCUCAUGACAAAUUUGGUUAACAUUACUAAAAGCUACAUCUUAAAUAUCGGUGCCUUGUUGUUAAAUACACUAAAUUUAUUAGUA
Mesocricetus auratus (golden hamster) is the source of this 7055-nucleotide RNA transcript. It is a transcript of the gene named RAB11 family interacting protein 2, with no coding region annotated. The record is from RefSeq and is a predicted model, not a curated record. Lineage: Eukaryota; Metazoa; Chordata; Mammalia; Rodentia; Cricetidae. The transcript is spliced from 9 exons.